RNAcentral lists this ribosomal RNA (477 nucleotides) under uncultured bacterium. RNAcentral describes it as "partial 16S ribosomal RNA". It matches the Rfam family "Bacterial small subunit ribosomal RNA", at positions 28 to 507 of the family's 1533-position model. The record is from RNAcentral.
GAUUAACGCUGGCGGCGUGCCUAACACAUGCAAGUCGAACGAUGAAACUUUAAUGAACCCUUCGGGGAGAAUUAAAGCGGAUUAGUGGCGAACGGGUGAGUAACGCGUGAGUAACCUGCCUUACACAAGGGGAUAGCCUUUGGAAACGAAGAAUAAUACCCUAUAAAACCAUAAAAGUACAUGCAAUUAUGGUCAAAGUGAUAGCGGUGUAAGAUGGACUUGCGUCUGAUUAGCUAGUUGGUGAGAUAAAAGCCCACCAAGGCAACGAUCAGUAGCCGGCUUGAGAGAGUGUACGGCCACAUUGGGACUGAGACACGGCCCAGACUCCUACGGGAGGCAGCAGUGGGGAAUUUUGCACAAUGGGGGAAACCCUGAUGCAGCGACGCCGCGUGAUUUAGAAGGCCUUCGGGUUGUAAAAAUCUUUUGUAUAGGAAGAAAAUGACAGUACUAUACGAAUAAGGUCCGGCUAAUUACGUG